UACGUAGGAUCCAAGCGUUAUCCGGAUUUAUUGGGUUUAAAGGGUGCGCAGGCGGAAGAUUAAGUCGGUGGUGAAAUUUUGCAGCUCAACUGUAAAAGUGCCAUUGAUACUGGUUUUCUUGAGUGUGGAUGAAGUAGGCGGAAUUUGUGGUGUAGCGGUGAAAUGCAUAGAUAUCACGAGGAACUCCGAUUGCGCAGGCAGCUUACUAAACUACUACUGACGCUCAGGCACGAAGGCGUGGGGAUCAAACAGGAUUAGAUA
RNAcentral lists this ribosomal RNA (261 nucleotides) under uncultured prokaryote. Its description in RNAcentral is "partial 16S ribosomal RNA". It matches the Rfam family "Bacterial small subunit ribosomal RNA", at positions 524 to 784 of the family's 1533-position model. The record is from RNAcentral.